UUAGAAAAGCAAUAUUAUAUGAUACGUUACUAAUAAUUUUAAAUAUAUAUAUUGAGCUUUUUAUUAUUUUAUACAAAAAAACAAUGAAACUAGUAAAAAUCUAUAUAAAAAAUAUUAAUUAAAAAGAUGAAUAUAUAACAAAUAUGUACCUUUUAUUUUUUAUUAUAUGUUAAAUAAUGAUCAAAACCAAAGUUCUAGUUUGCCAAAAAAAAAAAAAACCAAAGUUCUUAUUUCAUUGACCGAGGUCAAAAUUUGUUGAACGACUUGUUUUAUACGAUUACACUUUUUAUUCAGUUCUGUCCCAUAUUGCUC
RNAcentral lists this long non-coding RNA (312 nucleotides) under Capsella rubella. RNAcentral's name for it is "long non-coding RNA (CRUB_LNC004399)". The record is from RNAcentral. Lineage: Eukaryota; Viridiplantae; Streptophyta; Magnoliopsida; Brassicales; Brassicaceae.